RNAcentral lists this ribosomal RNA (506 nucleotides) under uncultured bacterium. RNAcentral describes it as "bacterial SSU rRNA". It matches the Rfam family "Bacterial small subunit ribosomal RNA", at positions 19 to 518 of the family's 1533-position model. The record is from RNAcentral.
AUGGCUCAGGAUGAACGCUAGCGGCAGGCUUAACACAUGCAAGUCGAGGGGCAGCGGGAUGUAGCAAUACAUGCCGGCGACCGGCGGAUGGGUGCGUAACGCGUAUGCAACCUACCUUAUACAGGGGAAUAACCUUUCGAAAGGGAGACUAACACCCCAUAGUAUUGAUUUAAGGCAUCUUAGAUUAAUUAAAUAUUUAUAGGUAUAAGAUGGGCAUGCGUAUGAUUAGCUAGUUGGUAAGGUAACGGCUUACCAAGGCGACGAUCAUUAGGGGUUCUGAGAGGAAGGUCCCCCACACUGGUACUGAGACACGGACCAGACUCCUACGGGAGGCAGCAGUGAGGAAUAUUGGUCAAUGGGCGCAAGCCUGAACCAGCCAUGCCGCGUGCAAGGAAGACGGCCUUAUGGGUUGUAAACUGCUUUUACAUAAGACUAACCGUAUAUUUGCGAAUAUACCUGAAUGUAUUAUGAGAAUAAGGAUCGGCUAACUCCGUGCCAGCCGCCGC